Molecule: ribosomal RNA, 283 nt
Filed under: uncultured bacterium
Lineage: Bacteria
Description: partial 16S ribosomal RNA
Rfam family: Bacterial small subunit ribosomal RNA
Source: RNAcentral
GACGAACGCUGGCGGCGUGCUUAACACAUGCAAGUCGAGCGGUAAGGCCCUUUCGGGGGUACGACGAGCGGCGAACGGGUGAGUAACACGUGGGUGACCUGCCCUUACGCUCUGGGAGUAAGCCUGGGAAACUGGGUCUAAUACCGGAUAUGACUCCAUGACGCAUGUUGUGGGGUGGAAAGCCUUGUGCGGCUAGGGAUGGGCCCGCGGCCUAUCAGCUUGUUGGUGGGGUGAUGGCCUACCAAGGCGACGACGGGUAGCCGGCCUGAGAGGGCGACCGGCC